RNAcentral lists this unclassified non-coding RNA (394 nucleotides) under soil metagenome. Its description in RNAcentral is "partial internal transcribed spacer 1". The stretch from base 157 to 230 matches the Rfam family "tRNA". The record is from RNAcentral.
UAGCCGUAUCGGAAGGUGCGGCUGGAUCACCUCCUUUUGAGCAACGACGGAUCGUUCAUCCGUCAGGCGCCCGCACAAGACACCUGCAUCCAUGCCCGUAGCCUCCAGGGGCUACAGUGGCCAAAGCCGCGACGCGAGUCGUGCGGCACCAGCUUUGGGUCUGUAGCUCAGGUGGUUAGAGCGCACCCCUGAUAAGGGUGAGGUCGGUGGUUCGAGUCCUCCCAGACCCACCAGUAUGCGCAUCCCUUCGCAAGAGCCCGUACAUCCAUGUACGGACUGUUCAAGGAAGCGCAGACUACCCAGACAUCGGGGCCAUAGCUCAGCUGGGAGAGCACCUGCUUUGCAAGCAGGGGGUCGCCGGUUCGAUCCCGGCUGGCUCCACCAGUACACGGUG